UACGUAGUGCAAGCGUUAUCCGGAUUUACUGGGUGUAAAGGGAGCGCAGACGGAACUGCAAGUCUGAUGUGAAAGCCCGGGGCUCAACCGCGGGACUGCAUCGGAUACUGUGGAUCUGGAGUGCCGGAGGGGCAAGCGGAAUCCCUGGUGUAGCGGUGAAAUGCGUAGAUAUCAGGAGGAACACCGGCGGCGAAGGCGGCUUACUGGACGAAGACUGACGUUGAGGCUCGAAAGCGUGGGGAGCAAACAGGUUUAGAUACCCUGGUA
Molecule: ribosomal RNA, 267 nt
Filed under: uncultured prokaryote
Description: partial 16S ribosomal RNA
Rfam family: Bacterial small subunit ribosomal RNA
Source: RNAcentral